This 253-nucleotide ribosomal RNA is filed under the name uncultured bacterium. RNAcentral's name for it is "partial 16S ribosomal RNA". It matches the Rfam family "Bacterial small subunit ribosomal RNA", at positions 524 to 776 of the family's 1533-position model. The record is from RNAcentral.
UACGUAGGGUGCGAGCGUUAAUCGGAAUUACUGGGCGUAAAGCGUGCGCAGGCGGUUAUUUAAGUCAGGUGUGAAAGCCCUGGGCUUAACCUAGGAAUUGCAUUCGAGACUGCGUAGCUAGGGUGCGGAAGAGGGAAGCGGAAUUUCCGGUGUAGCGGUGAAAUGCGUAGAUAUCGGAAGGAACACCAGUGGCGAAAGCGGCUUCCUGGUCCAGCACCGACGUUCAGGCACGAAAGCGUGGGGAGCAAACAGG